ACAGCAGUAGCCGCGGUAACACGAAGGGGGCUAGCGUUGUUCGGAUUUACUGGGCGUAAAGCGCACGUAGGCGGACUUUUAAGUCAGGGGUGAAAUCCCGGGGCUCAACCCCGGAACUGCCUUUGAUACUGGGAGUCUUGAGUUCGAGAGAGGUGAGUGGAAUUGCGAGUGUAGAGGUGAAAUUCGUAGAUAUUCGCAGGAACACCAGUGGCGAAGGCGGCUCACUGGCUCGAUACUGACGCUGAGGUGCGAAAGCGUGGGGAGCAAACAGGAUUAGAUACCCCGGUAGUCCCUGUCUCUUAUAC
This 305-nucleotide ribosomal RNA is filed under the name uncultured bacterium. RNAcentral's name for it is "partial 16S ribosomal RNA". It matches the Rfam family "Bacterial small subunit ribosomal RNA", at positions 508 to 807 of the family's 1533-position model. The record is from RNAcentral.